GCUAGCUCGUGUUCUGAGAUGCUUUUCGGCCGUCGAGGGCAGCUGUUGAAUUUCUUUCUGUGGCAGUGACCCUAUGCUUUAAGCUGUUCCUCGUUCGUCUCAGGGAACUACUACAUUCUUCUUAUCAACACCGUCUCAUGCUCUGUGCUGCUUUCCAGCCGUCUUGAGCCGGGGUUGAGUUAUUCCGGUAACGCCCCAGAUCUGUGUUGUAAAGACCGUUCUGGUGGCUACCGAUUUAUUUGCCAGUUUUAUGCGAGGGUUCCAAGGGUCUAAUUUACAGUUAG
This 284-nucleotide long non-coding RNA is filed under the name Hordeum vulgare. RNAcentral describes it as "long non-coding RNA (HVUL_LNC011924)". The record is from RNAcentral. Lineage: Eukaryota; Viridiplantae; Streptophyta; Magnoliopsida; Poales; Poaceae.